GGCGUGCUUAACACAUGCAAGUCGAACGGAAAGGCCCUGCUUUUGUGGGGUGCUCGAGUGGCGAACGGGUGAGUAACACGUGAGUAACCUGCCCUUGACUUUGGGAUAACUUCAGGAAACUGGGGCUAAUACCGGAUAGGAGCUCCUGCUGCAUGGUGGGGGUUGGAAAGUUUCGGCGGUUGGGGAUGGACUCGCGGCUUAUCAGCUUGUUGGUGGGGUAGUGGCUUACCAAGGCUUUGACGGGUAGCCGGCCUGAGAGGGUGACCGGCCACAUUGGGACUGAGAUACGGCCCAGACUCCUACGGGAGGCAGCAGUGGGGAAUAUUGCACAAUGGGCGGAAGCCUGAUGCAGCAACGCCGCGUGCGGGAUGACGGCCUUCGGGUUGUAAACCGCUUUCGCCUGUGACGAAGCGUGAGUGACGGUAAUGGGUAAAGAAGCACCGGCUAACUACGUGCCAGCAGCCGCGGUGAUACGUAGGGUGCGAGCGUUGUCCGGAUUUAUUGGGCGUAAAGGGCUCGUAGGUGGUUGAUCGCGUCGGAAGUGUAAUCUUGGGGCUUAACCCUGAGCGUGCUUUCGAUACGGGUUGACUUGAGGAAGGUAGGGGAGAAUGGAAUUCCUGGUGGAGCGGUGGAAUGCGCAGAUAUCAGGAGGAACACCAGUGGCGAAGGCGGUUCUCUGGGCCUUUCCUGACGCUGAGGAGCGAAAGCGUGGGGAGCGAACAGGCUUAGAUACCCUGGUAGUCCACGCUGUAAACGGUGGGUACUAGGUGUGGGGUCCAUUCCACGGGUUCCGUGCCGUAGCUAACGCUUUAAGUACCCCGCCUGGGGAGUACGGCCGCAAGGCUAAAACUCAAAGGAAUUGACGGGGCCCCGCACAAGCGGCGGAGCAUGCGGAUUAAUUCGAUGCAACGCGUAGAACCUUACCUGGGUUUGACAUGGAUCGGGAGUGCUCAGAGAUGGGUGUGCCUCUUUUGGGGUCGGUUCACAGGUGGUGCAUGGCUGUCGUCAGCUCGUGUCGUGAGAUGUUGGGUUAAGUCCCGCAACGAGCGCAACCCUUGUUCACUGUUGCCAGCACGUUAUGGUGGGGACUCAGUGGAGACCGCCGGGGUCAACUCGGAGGAAGGUGGGGAUGACGUCAAGUCAUCAUGCCCCUUAUGUCCAGGGCUUCACGCAUGCUACAAUGGCUGGUACAGAGAGUGGCGAGCCUGUGAGGGUGAGCGAAUCUCGGAAAGCCGGUCUCAGUUCGGAUUGGGGUCUGCAACUCGACCUCAUGAAGUCGGAGUCGCUAGUAAUCGCAGAUCAGCAACGCUGCGGUGAAUACGUUCCCGGGGCUUGUACACACCGCCCGUCAAGUCAUGAAAGUUGGUAACACCCGAAGCCGGUGGCCUAACCGUUGUGGGGGAGCCGUCGAAGGUGGGACUGGUGAUUAGGACUAAGUCAUAAC
Molecule: ribosomal RNA, 1444 nt
Filed under: uncultured organism
Description: 16S ribosomal RNA
Rfam family: Bacterial small subunit ribosomal RNA
Source: RNAcentral